Molecule: long non-coding RNA, 623 nt
Organism: Bubalus bubalis (water buffalo)
Lineage: Eukaryota; Metazoa; Chordata; Mammalia; Artiodactyla; Bovidae
Exons: 2
Source: RefSeq, a predicted model, not a curated record
AGGACGCGGGACUCCUCAUCAGGGGGCGGAGCCAGAGGGGCGGGGCGGAGUUUAGAACCUGUCUUGUACUGGGCAACGAAUGGGGCGCAUGCGUGCAGAGGGGACUUUCGGAGGCCAAAUAGUUGGGUCCACGUGACCCAGGGGUGUGCUCUGCUGCAGCUUCGGUCUCGUGUCCACCUAGCGGGCUAAUUUGACCGGAUUUCUGCAGAGAUGCGCACGAAACCUACAGAUCAUAGAGACCAAAAAUAACUGGGCAGAGGAAGUGCAUCUGUGAACUCACUCAGCCCCACCAGCACCCGUCUCCAGUGGGGCUGGAAACUUUCCCUCUGCCCUCUGGUAACAACCACUUCCUAACCACAUUUUUCGAUCCCAUAAUGGGAUAGACUAAAGAGACAAGCCAUGACCACUGGUACAAUCAGCCCUUCCUUCCCAACCAGUACCCAGUUCCUCCAACCUUAUGUAGCACUAAUGAUUUGGCUUCAAGCUCCUUAAAACACUGACCUUGAAAUCUGAGCUCAAGGGGUCAGACAAGUGGGGCUGGGGUGGGGAGGGCGGCUGUGUAAUUUUAAAAAGCAUAUUGAGCCUUAUACUUUUUUAUAUGUGGGAAAUAAAAAUAGUCAUAC